GAGUNCAGAAGGGGAGAGUGGAAUUCCAUGUGUAGCGGUGAAAUGCGUAGAUAUAUGGAGGAACACCGGUGGCGAAAGCGGCUCUCUGGUCUGUCACUGACGCUGAGGCUNGAAAGCGUGGGUAGCGAACAGGAUUAGAUACCCUGGUAGUNCACGCCGUAAACGCUGAGUGCUAGGUGUUAGGUCCUUUCCGGGACUUAGUGCCGACGCUAACGCAUUAAGCACUCCGCCUGGGGAGUACGACCGCAAGGUUGAAACUCAAAGGAAUUGACGGGGGCCCGCACAAGCGGUGGAGCAUGUGGUUUAAUUCGAAGCAACGCGAAGAACCUUACCAGGUCUUGACAUCCCGAUGCCCGCUCUAGAGAUAGAGUUUUUCUUCGGAACAUCGGAGACAGGUGGUGCAUGGUUGUCGUCAGCUCGUGUCGUGAGAUGUUGGGUUAAGUCCCGCAACGAGCGCAACCCUUAUUGUUAGUUGCCAUCAUUAAGUUGGGCACUCUAGCGAGACUGCCGGUAAUAAACCGGAGGAAGGUGGGGAUGACGUCAAAUCAUCAUGCCCCUUAUGACCUGGGCUACACACGUGCUACAAUGGUUGGUACAACGAGUCGCAAGCCGGUGACGGCAAGCUAAUCUCUGAAAGCCAAUCUCAGUUCGGAUUGUAGGCUGCAACU
This 668-nucleotide ribosomal RNA is filed under the name uncultured bacterium. RNAcentral's name for it is "bacterial SSU rRNA". It matches the Rfam family "Bacterial small subunit ribosomal RNA", at positions 644 to 1312 of the family's 1533-position model. The record is from RNAcentral.